This 608-nucleotide long non-coding RNA is filed under the name Vigna radiata. RNAcentral describes it as "long non-coding RNA (VRAD_LNC004485)". Lineage: Eukaryota; Viridiplantae; Streptophyta; Magnoliopsida; Fabales; Fabaceae. The record is from RNAcentral.
CGCGGUUGGUCAGAGAACCGCGGCCUAUUCUCCCUGCCACCUGCUGACAUUCCCCAUCAGUCAGCCCCUGCAUUAAAUUGACAGGGAAUGGGCCGCGGUUGGUCAGAGAACCGCUGCCUAUUCCCCUGUCAAUUUAAUGCAGGGGCUGACUGAUGGGGAAUGUCAGCAGGUGGCAGGGGGAAUAGGCCGCGGUUCUCUGACCAACCGCGACCUAUUCCCCCUGCCAUCUGCUGACAUUCCCCAAAAAGCAGUUGGGAAGGCAGUUAAAGCGUUUCUGAACGUUGGAGAAUAGGCCGCGGUUGGCCAGAGAACUGCGGCCUAUUCCCUGGUCUCUGUAAUUUUUAAAAUUUUAAGGGUAUAUGCCGCGGUUCGGAGCCCAACCGCGGCAUAUAAGUUAAAAAAAAUUUCAAAAUUUCCAUUAUGUAUUAUUUUUUUUAAAUGAAUAGGCCGCGGUUAAGUGUAGAACCGCGGCCUAUUCCCCCUUUAUGCCGCGGUUAAGUGUAGAACCGCGGCAGAUUCUCCUUCUGAAGGUAAAAAAACAAAAAUCGCGAAACAGUUUCGUCUUCUUCGCGAAACUGUUUCAGACCUUGCUUCUUCUCCGGCGACCC